GACUGAUCCAGCGUAGGCUGGGGCUGCAGUGGUAAAGGUGGAGAAAGGCUGGAGAAGUUAGGGACUGUUUUCUGCUGAAGGAGACAACUUACUAAGUUUUAAAGAGCCACUAGCUCAUGUCAGAGAAGGAUCUGAAGCCAUAUGAUUUGGAAAGAACAUGAGUGCAUUCGGUUUUGGACAUUGGACCGCAGGUGUCACAGAAGUGUAAUCUCUGACAGAGGAGAAGCAAAUGAGGUGAGACCCACAAGUGCCCCAGCUGACAACCUGGAGAGAGUUUCCACGCCACCAUACAGACCCUGUAGGGGACCCACUGUCUCCAGGCCUCCGUUUGCUCAUCUGUAAAGCGAGGGGUGGGCCAGUCACCCCGGCAUGAGCUUUGACAUUUUAGGAUCCCAGCCUUCCCGCUGUGGUUGCAGAAGUGGCUCUUAGGAUCCCAGCCUUCCCGCUGUGGCUGCAGAAGUGGCUCCUCUCCAGAACAGCAUUUAUGGCGUCUGGACUCCCGCCCCAGCUCCCUAACGGGGCAGGGAGCUCGCCUGCUCCUGAAGCAUCCGCCUCCCAGCCUCGCGCAGGUGAGGCUCAUCAAUAACGAUGGGCGAGGAUGUCAGGCUGCGUCUGAAGCCACCAGGGGCCCAGCAGGCUGCCGCGUGCUUUGUCAUAAACUAUGUUGUCACCUGGGGAAGAAUCAUCACCGAUAACAUAUUUCAGGAGACAAAAACAAGAGGUGCAUUGAUUUUUUCCACGAGGUCAGACAACUUCUGGGAAGGCUCCUGGAACUCAAGUUGUCACGGCAUCUCUCCCUGAAUAUCCGUUUGACCCGGGGUGUUAGUGGCCUCUGACCCAGGUGGGCUCUUUUUCCUGAUCACGGGCUGUUCUUUUCAGAGGCCAGCACCAUCACUGGCCUUUCUCAGACCCUGAGGAUCGAGGCUGACUUGGAUCCAGGGAAGAUUUGCUCUCUGGCUUCCCCUGAUCUGGCUCCGAGAAAGGUCUGCACAGGUGGCUCCGGGAGGGGCUCUGCUGACAGCCAAAUCUGCCAUUUGUUAAGCUUAUGACACACACCAGAGUGACCUGUCUAUUUCCCUGGCCACCACCCAGCCCAAAACUGAAGACAGAAUGUUCAAAAAUACAGUAUAUUAAUAGAAAAUCUGAGGCAUAGUGAGGCCAACAGAUCAGGAGACAACUGCCAUUAAAAAGGUAGUUUGCGGCCGUGAGCGGUGGCUCACGCCUGUAAUCCCAGCACUUUGGGAGGCCGAGGUGGGCAGAUCACAUGAGGUCAGGAGUUUUAGACUCGCCUGGCCAGCAUGGUGGAACCACCCUAUCUCUACUAAAAAUAUAAAAAUUAGCUGGGUGUGGUGGCGGGAGCCUGUAAUCCAAGCUACUCAGGAGGCUGAGGCAGGAGAAUCACUGGAACCUGGAAGGUGGAGGCUGCAGUGAGCUGAGAUCGCACCACUGCACUCCAGCCUGGGCAACAGAGUGAGACCCCAUCUCAAAAAAAAAAAAAAAAAAGGUAGUUUGUUACUCACAGUUCCCAAGAGGAGGGGAGCACCACGCCAUGCCGCGCCACGCCAUGCCACGCCAUGCCACGCCAUGCCAUGCCAUGCCACGCCAUGUGGGGGCCACACCCGGAGAGCCCCAGAGGGAGCAAGGGGCAGAACGCAGGCAAGCAGUUCCCAUGGGAAGGAACAGGCGAGGCAGGGUACACAGGUUUAGGACUAGCUAGUUUGAAUAAUUUCAGCAGGCUCUGGGACAUAGGAGCUGUCUGUAGUUGUCUGGUACCUGGCCCUGGGGGAUACAGGCAGGUGGAUAGGGGCCCAGAGUGUGGUUGGGAGGUGUGGGCUCUAGAGUGGGUGAUUUGUAUUUGAAAAGCACACUCCCAGGCCAUUGUCUGCUGUCUCUAGGAACUAUCUAAUCCUGGGAGGGACUCUCUCCAGUGUCAGCAAAGCCCCUGAUGUCAAAGUAUCACAAUACAGAGAAUAAAAGACGCGGCCCGUACGCAGAGCUGAAGUGGCUCUCUGUUAUUUGCAGAUGGAAAUUGGAAUCUCUACAGCAUGACAGACACUUGAGCAGAAAUUCUAAGCUUUUAUGGGUUGCCACAGGUCCCUUUCAGGAGGAUGGCGAAGGCUAUAGUCAUGAGCCGUCUAAGGUGGAGGUCACGAGCGGCAGGUGGCUCUUAAUAAGCACUUGACAUACCACUUCUCCCAACUGAGAUGUGCUGUACGCGUCAAAUCCGAACUGGAUUUUGAGGAUUCAGAAUGAAUAAAAGAUUGAAAAAAUCUCAUUCAUGAUUUGUAUAUUAAUUACAUGUUGAAAUGAUAAUAUGUUGGAUAUAUUGGGCUAAAUAAAAUAUAUUAUCAAAUUUAAGUUUGCUUGUUUCUUUUUAUUGUGUCUGCUAGAAAAAUGUCCUCAGUUAAAAUCACCUCAGUGGCUCACAUUCUCUCUCUAUUGGACAACAGGGCUCUUGACCUCCCUAGGGGAAUGGACCCAGGCACACAUGAUGCAGGUAAAAUAUGGUAUUGAGGGGUGUGAUUCCAGGAUCUGAGGGUACACCGACCCCAAGUUGAUUUCACUCUCUCUUUCCAGAAUUAUAGGGUGAAAAGAACCCUAGAGAAGGAUCCCUGGCCCCAGACACAUAACUAUCAGUGAGAACCCACAGCAUUGAAAAGCAAAUCUUUCCCAAAGCUUCAUGUUUUGAGCCAGCCUGCUGUAAAACUUUGUUAAAAAAAAUCAGUAGACAAUAAAGAAGAAAAUCAAACUUUUUAGCCUUGAUUAAGUGGUU
This 2773-nucleotide long non-coding RNA is filed under the name Homo sapiens (human). RNAcentral describes it as "HSALNT0245688". Lineage: Eukaryota; Metazoa; Chordata; Mammalia; Primates; Hominidae. The record is from RNAcentral.